Long non-coding RNA from Hippoglossus stenolepis (Pacific halibut), 630 nucleotides. RefSeq lists it as uncharacterized. NCBI's taxonomy places the organism in Eukaryota, Metazoa, Chordata, Actinopteri, Pleuronectiformes, Pleuronectidae. The transcript is spliced from 3 exons. The record is from RefSeq and is a predicted model, not a curated record.
UGUCAUCCAGCCUCCCUGCUCUGCCGGGACGGUCACAGAGGUAAACGAGCCUCUUUAAGAAGAUACAUCAACCUUCGUGUUUGAGAAUCAACCUCAGCCAAAACAGAGCGUCACCUAAUUACACCUUCAAUUGAUCUCCAGAAUGGAGAGCCGCCUGGUGGCCUAGAAGUGCAGCCAGGCCCCGACAGACACAGUAAAGGGCGAGCACAGACUGCCCGAGGGGGAGCAGAUGUCCUGGGUCACUCACAGUCCAACCAAUGGAGGAACAACAGAGAACACUCAAAUCUGACUGAAGUACCUGGCAUUCUGCAGGAUGGACUGUUCUGAUGCUGCAAUGAAGAGUGGCUGAGUUCUAACCUGCAUCCUCAUCCCCCACCAGACCAUGACUGUCACUGUCAUCUGUCACCGGCCUGUUACAAGGCAGCAGAUGUACUAAUAAAACUGGUUUCAUAUACUACAAUGAUUUCAGAAUGUUUGGUUACCUACAUGAUAAAAUAGCUUUCUGUAGGUUUCCCCCUCCCAAAACGUCUUUUGAUUAGGUUAGCUCCCUAUCCUUAGUCUGAUAUAAUCCUGACAAGCCACCCACAGGAAAUCAAACUACAUUCCUCAUAGAUUAAAAAAAUGUUUUUU